This 253-nucleotide ribosomal RNA is filed under the name uncultured bacterium. RNAcentral describes it as "partial 16S ribosomal RNA". It matches the Rfam family "Bacterial small subunit ribosomal RNA", at positions 524 to 776 of the family's 1533-position model. The record is from RNAcentral.
UACGUAGGGUGCAAGCGUUGUCCGGAAUUAUUGGGCGUAAAGGGCUCGUAGGCGGUCCAUCACGUCGGGGGUGAAAAGCUGGGGCUUAACCCCAGUCCUGCUUCCGAUACGGGUGGACUAGAGGUAGGCAGGGGAGAACGGAAUUCCUGGUGUAGCGGUGGAAUGCGCAGAUAUCAGGAGGAACACCGGUGGCGAAGGCGGGUCUCUGGGCCGAUACUGACGCUGAGAAGCGAAAGCGUGGGGAGCGAACAGG